RNAcentral lists this long non-coding RNA (5297 nucleotides) under Homo sapiens (human). RNAcentral's name for it is "non-protein coding lnc-NTRK3-2:10". Lineage: Eukaryota; Metazoa; Chordata; Mammalia; Primates; Hominidae. The record is from RNAcentral.
AUUCUACUCCUGCCAGUUCCUUCUUCCUAGUGGGUUCUUAUGGCUCUCUCUUUAUCUUUAAGCAUAAUUAAUUGGUUCAAAGUGUUAAUGCUGCAAUGCAGGCAUGUUGCAAUACGAAGUGGAGUUAAAGCAACUAGAAGGAAGUGUCAGUAACCAAGCUGAGAGAGGCUGGAAGGAAAACAAUUCAUGCAGCAGAAAAGAAAGCCUUUUGAGCACUGUGAUGUCAGAAGGUGACUUGGAAGAUGAUCUAAAUGUUAAACUGGCAGUGAAGAGUGCCACAUCAUUGUUAUUCCCCCAAGAUCCUGGAUUCCAGACAGCCCAGUGGAGCACCAUAGAAAGAACUUUCAGGAAGCAGAGAAUGGUUCAGGGAUUCUGAUUUUCCUGAACUUCCUCCUCCCUAUCCACCUCCAAUUAGGAAAAAAGAAGAAAAAAAAGAUUAAACACGUCCAGAAUGUUAAAAAUCCAGUAGGGAUUUUAAAUGUUCACUAUUACAGCACAUACAUUUAUACACAAGGAGGUCUGAAGGCUUUCUGGUUUCAAUUAAGAUUAUUAUCUCCUUUGAGUGAUGGUUUCUCCUUUUUUCCCCCAGAAUUCCCUUUGGCUGAUCUAUUUUAAAAGAGUAUGAGCUAGGGAUAACUAGGCUUAUUUGUAUUGAGUCUACUUUCCCCUCCAGGUCUCUUUGUCUUAAAUUCUGAAGUCCCUUUUCCUAUCCUGCUAAAGGUUAGCAGCUUGAAAUCAAGGACAUGAGUCAUUGUUACUUUUCAUGUGGAAGAUAAGCUCUGUGGCUUUUAUAGCAAAAAGUAUAUACAAUUCUAAAAUUAAAGUGCAAGUCAGAAAGGCCAUUGGGGCUGUGAAAAGUCCUUAUCUAAAUCAGAAGACCAAGGUCAAGUUUGUAUCAUGCCUAUUAGUACAUGGGUUUCAUUGGUUAAGUUACCAAACCUCUGAGCCUCAGUUUCCUUAUCAGUCAAAUGAGUGCAAUAAUUCCCGCCCUAUCAUCUGACAAAUUAUUGAGAAAUUCUAAUUACAUGCCUAUAAUUUUCAGGUCUUUGUUUUUCAGGUCUUUGUUAAGCAUCAUGCACAUAAACGUUUGUAUUACACUUUCUUUAGCAGUAUUUGAACAUGGUACCUUAUUCAAUGUUCUGAAACAAAUCAUGAAUACUUCCUGGUGUGGUGAUAAUAUCUUCAUAAACUUGUGACACCCGAUGGAAUGUGAGUCGGUUUUGUAAUAGCCUUUAAAAACUUCCCUCAAUACAUAAUAAAGAAUGGUAAAAAAUUUUGGUUGAGGAAACUAAUGAUACAUCCAAAAUAACACAUUCAGUUUUCCAGUGAAGAAUAUUCUCAAAGUAAAAUGCUGUUUAGACUUACUUAAAGGUUCUUAAAACAAGUUAUACAAAGGGAUAGUAUUGAAAUCCAUCUUUUAAUAGAUAUAUACUAGUAAUUAUGUUGAAGACCCAGGAAAAUACUAUUAAUAGGUGUGAAAUUUAAAUCACACUAAUUAGUACUUUAAAAUAUUAUUCCUUCACGUUAUUUUAAAGAAGCUUUUCCUACAUGUGUGACCUAUUCUGUCAAACACAGCCAUGAAUAUCUAGUAUACUAAAUUGGUCCUAUUCUGACUCCAAUUUUCAAACACUUUUAACAUAGGACUAUAGAGUUCAUAUUUACAAAGUGUGUGCAUGCCUAUGUGUAUCACUAAUAUGUAGUAUAUGCAUACUAAAUAUGCACAUGGGUAUUUCAAACUCUGUUGGCUUGACUCUAAAUGUUCAGCUAUCGAUGUUAUUCUUGGUAUUUAGAGGUUUUAUUUAUAUAUUUAUCUUUCUUGACUUUCCCACUGGGAGGUGUCUUCUGAUAUUUCAGCCUCUAGCAUCUCAGUCCCAUACAUUCAGCCCUCACUGGGAAGUUUAAUUCCAGGUUACUAAUUUCAGAGCAUCCCAAAGAUGCUGUUUAGCUAGGUAGUGCCUUAAUAUAUCUUAGAAUUAAAAGAAAAUACUUUCUGUCUCUCAGGGCAUUUGAAAGCUCAAACUCUCCUCUUUGAACUUCCCUCUCUCAUUAUAUUGCCAUCACAAAUCUUUGUCCAUCACUAGGUGGUACAACUCCCCCUCCCCUCACCUGCCUCACACACAUAUGACCUACAGUGGAAAACUGAGCUCCAGAUGGUUCAUGGACUUGCCCAAAGUCACCUGUACCAUUGCUGACUUGGAACUUGAAUGUCCAAGCCUUCUAAAUCCUCAUCUGCAUUUUUCACAUUAGAGAAUUUUGAUCUCUGACUUCCAACAGUUAUUUCAGGAGAGGAAAAUGCAUGGCUUCACUAUCCAAUGGACUAAAAAAUUGAGUAAGGGAUAGAACAUAUUUUACACUCCAACUUGAAAACUUGUCGUAAUGAUGCUCUUCCAGCAUGAAGAAAUUAAAAUUGGCCUUCCUCUUCGUUCUCCUGAAUUGUUCACUGUAACUGAGUGGAGAUAUUUUAGGAGGGUUCUUACUGUGGCUUCUGAAGACCUUUUUCAGAAUAAGGUCUUUUUUUCAAAAACACCACACAAAAUACAAUACAAAAAUACAAUACAAAAAUUUUCAAAAAUACAGUAUUAGUUUGAAGCUUGGUAAGUUUUGACUAUUGCCUAUACCUAUGUAACUGCUACCUAAAACAAGAUAUAGAAAUAUUCUAACUUCCCAGAGAGAUUCUUCAUGCCCCUUUCAUUCAGUGUCAUCCCAGACCCCACAAAGGCAAUUCCUUCUGAUGGUAUGUAUGUAUUCUUUAGUGUCUGAUAUUUUUUAGAUUUAUUUAUAUUGUCAUAUGUAUCAGUAGGCCAUUCAUUUUUGUUGUUGAUGAAUAUUUCAUUGUGUGAAUAUGCUGCAAUUUGUUGAUUCAAAUACCUCCUGAUAGUUGUUUUCCGUUUGGGGCUGUUAAGAAUAAGGCUUCCAUAAACUUUCUUGCCUAAGUCUUGCAUGCAUUGAUGUUUUUAUUUCUCUUGCGUACAUAGCUGGGAUUCAAAUUGUUGGCUUAUAGGUUGUAUCUAUGCUUAGUUUAUUUUUAAAAUUGCCAGAGUUUUUGAAGCCUGCCUCUACAAGCAGUGUGUGAGAAGUUUAGCUACUUCAUUACCUCCAAACCAUUUGGUAUUAUCAGUCUUUUUAUUUAUCUCAAUUGGAAAAUAUUAAAUGGCUUUAUAUUAUGGCUUAAAGUUGCAUUUACCUGGUAACUGAGUGCCUUAUCUUGAGCUUCUUGUCUAUUCAUGCAUUUUUUUGGUGAUUAUGUGUUUAAGUCUUUUGCCCAUUUAAAAUUGGAUUUUUUUUGUUAUGGCUUUAUAGGAAUACAUCAUGUAUUCUGCAUAUAAUUUAUUUAUCCAAUAUUAUAUAUUGAAAAACUUUUCUUCUUGUCUGUAAUUUGCCAGUUUAUUUUGUUAAUGGUGCUUUUUAAUGAGUGUAUCUUUUUAAUUUUGAUGAAGUCUUAUCCUAUUUGUCUUUUAUGAUUAGUGAUUUUUAUUUGUCUAUUUUUGUCUGACCCAAGAUUAAAAAGGUACUUCCUAUAUUUUCUUCUAGAAGUUUCAUGGUUCCAGCUUUCCCAUUUCAGACUCUGUAACAUCUCAAGUUAACUUUUGUGCCUGGAAUGAGUUACAGGUCAAUAAUUACAUUGUUUAUUUGAGAAUCUAACACCAUUGUUUGAAAAUAAUAUCCUUACCUCAUUCAUUUGACUUGGCACCUGAAUAAGUCAUCUUUAAUACUGAGAAAUGGUAUUGCUGGUCUUUCAUGCAUUUUCUGAGACAUGUAGAUGACUUCAUGGAUACUUAAAAUAUUAUGGGUCUAUCACUGUGCCUUUGCACAUAAACUUUUUUCUGCCCAAGAUGCCAUUCUUCUUAUUAUUUUGUGUUUACUACCCAAAACACAGCUUAGUAGUCUCAGACACCUUCGUUAAUUUUUCCCAUAUGGUGCAACUAAAUGCCUCUGUUGGGCACAGUGAAUUGCUCUAUCAAAAUAUUUGUCUUAUGACUUGCUAAUUUUCUCUUUACUUGACUUUCUCCCCAAGCAGACAGUGAUUUACUUGAAAACAGGUCUGCUUUUUUAUCUCUGUAUCUUUAUUACUCAGCACUGUGACAGGAAAAAAAAGAUAGCCACUCAAUUUAUGAUUUUAAUCAAAUUUGAUGGUCCUGAUAUUCCACAGGAGCAAUGUAAGAUAGUAAAAGAAAUCCAUAUACUUUGGAAGGAUAUAAUUUUGAUUUCAAAUAUUGGUUCUGCUACUCACUAGCUGUUUGAAUUGAGGCAAGUUAUUUAAUUUCAAAAUCUUAGUGUAUUAAUCUAUAAUAUGAAGCUGUGUAGAACUUCAUUUGGAAUAUUUACAAUAAAUAAAAGAAAUAGUGUCCAGUACAUACAGUGUAUAGUAGCUGCUAAAUAAAUGGAGUGAGUGUAUUAUUAUUUUAGCAUUAAAAGGGCAAAUGAAAGGCUUGUGUUGAGCUCACUAAUUACCUGCUAUGGUAUCCAGGGACUCUUAAUGACUAAGUAUAAAAUGCCAUGUUAUCUUCUUUUCAUAAACACACAGAGUAACAAUUUGGGUGCAGUAUUCAAGGUAUUGCUUCACAUAGAAUCUGUUCUUUAUCUGUCAAAUCACAACAAAAGCACUGAACCCUAGCAGACAUCAAUUCUUGGAAUCAUAAUAUUACAUCACUGUGGAAAUUAGCCAAGUAAGAAUGUACUCCAAAUUUCAAAGUUGUAACUCUAUAGAUGUCUUGGAGACAUGAUAUAUGAAAGAAUAAAACAUGUCAUAGGAACCCCGGAGAUAUGGUUACAGCUCUAAUUCACAUUAACUUCCAAAGAAGGCACUUUAGCUAUUAGGCAGUUCCACUAAAAGUCAUAUUCCUAGGACUACUCCAGAGAAUUUAUCCUGCUUACCACGCUUUCCUUGGGUUAUACAUUUUGGUCCCAUCCAUCCCACUUAUAGGCACUUGAGAAGCUUAGAGAAUUACAGUAUUUUCUCUUGGAAAUGCUUUUAAGUAGCAUUUUAAAUACAUGAUUUUCCAACAUCCCUCCCACUUAUGGCACCCAUAUAGUACCCAGUGUACAUAUCAUUUCCCUGCUGAUUGGCUUUCAUGUGUUCCAAAUGCUUUUCUAAAUUGACCUGAUACCUAUUAAACCUGAAGUGGACUUUUAAGAUCUGAAGAACAUUUAAUCAAUGGGACAUUAAAGUAAAUAAAUCAUAGCUGAGAGGAGUUCCUUCAAAUGAUAUAAUCUUUAAUGAGCAUUGCACUUGAUUUAAUAAUUUAUUAAAUAUAUAAAAAAUGAUUGGUAAAUUGAACACUUGUCUCAGAGCAAGC